AUGAACGCUGGCGGCGUGUCUAAGGCAUGCAAGUCGAACGAAUUCUUUUUCGUAGCAAUACGAGGGAGCAGUUAGUGGCAAACGGGAGCGUAACACAUUGGUAAUCUACCCCGAGGUUCGGUACAACCUGUCGAAAGAUGGGCUAAUUCCGGAUGUGAUCCGAUUUCAUAAGAAGUCGGAUGAAAGUCGAAAGACUCCUUGGGAGGAGCCUAUGCCUCAUCAGUUAGUUGGUAGGGUAACGGCCUACCAAGACUACGACGAGUAGCAGGUGUGGGAGCACGACCUGCCUCACAGGGACUGAGACACUGCCCUGACACCUACGGGUGGCUGCAGUCAAGAAUAUUCCCCAAUGGGCGCAAGCCUGAGGGAGCGACGCCGCGUGCAGGAAGAAGCUCUUCGGGGCGUAAACUGCUUUUGUAUGGGAACACAUUUUGAGGGUACCAUGCGAAUAAGGACCUGCUAAACUCGU
This 469-nucleotide ribosomal RNA is filed under the name uncultured bacterium. RNAcentral's name for it is "bacterial SSU rRNA". It matches the Rfam family "Bacterial small subunit ribosomal RNA", at positions 29 to 506 of the family's 1533-position model. The record is from RNAcentral.